AGUGAACGCUGGCGGUAGGCCUAACACAUGCAAGUCGAACGGCAGCACAGUAAGAGCUUGCUCUUACGGGUGGCGAGUGGCGGACGGGUGAGGUAUAUAUCGGAAUCUACUUUUUCGUGGGGGAUAACGUAGGGAAACUUACGCCAAUACCGCAUACGCCCUACGGGUGAAAGCAGUGGAUCUUCGCAGCUUGUGCGAUUGAACUCGCCGAUGUCGGAUUAGCUAGUUGGCGGGGUAAAGGCCCAGCAAGUCGACGAUCCGUAGCUGGUCUGAGAGGAGGAUCGGCCACACUGGAACUUGGACACGGACCAGACGACUGCGGGAGGGAGCAGAGGGGAAUGGUGGACAAUGGGGGCAAGCAUGGUCCAGCCGUACCGCGUGGGUGAAGAAGGCGUUCGGGUUGUGAAGCCCGUUUGUUGGGAGAGAAAAGCAGCAGGUUAAUACCCCGCUGUUCUGACGGUACCCAAAGAAUAAGCACCGGCUAACUUCGUG
Molecule: ribosomal RNA, 492 nt
Filed under: uncultured bacterium
Lineage: Bacteria
Description: partial 16S ribosomal RNA
Rfam family: Bacterial small subunit ribosomal RNA
Source: RNAcentral